UACAGCCACACCACCUUGAACGUGCCCUACCUGGUCUGAUCUGGGAAGCUAAGCAGAGUUAGGUCCCGUUAGUACUUGCACGGGAGAAACUAUAA
This 95-nucleotide ribosomal RNA is filed under the name Nannospalax galili (Upper Galilee mountains blind mole rat). Lineage: Eukaryota; Metazoa; Chordata; Mammalia; Rodentia; Spalacidae. The record is from RNAcentral.